CCUCUCCCUGAGGCCUUUCCUGAUGACGCCCGACCCUGCAGACCUCUACUACGUAGUGUGAUACAACCAAGCUCACCGCUCAACGAGGAUGGCGGCAGGAGGUUCAUGGGGUCUGAACUGGAGGUGACCGACCAGGAAGGAGACCUUGGGGUCAUAGAGGAUGGCUCAAUGAAGAUGCCAACCCAGUGUGCAGCAGCUGUGAAAAAGGCAAAUUCCAUGCUAAGGAUCAUCCGGAAAGGAAUUGCUGGAGGUGGUUUUCAAGGAAGAAGAUCCUGAGUAGGUGAACUUGGGAGGAGUAUGCAUGACUUCAUCAGCAAGGAAGCAGAAAAGAUGAAUAAAACCUCUUGAAGCAGCUUAUACAAGGGGAGAAAAAUUCAUUUUCUGCCUUGUCACAAGAACUUGGAGGAAGCUGAGUGCUCAGUUUUAUCACUCACCUUUUUGCAAUAAAACUAAAACUAAACUGGCAUCACUAAUUUAGUAGAAGAGGCUUCUCUUCGACAUUACACGGAGCUGG
This is a long non-coding RNA of Rhineura floridana, 514 nucleotides long. RefSeq lists it as uncharacterized. The transcript has 3 exons. Lineage: Eukaryota; Metazoa; Chordata; Lepidosauria; Squamata; Rhineuridae. The record is from RefSeq and is a predicted model, not a curated record.